AAGGUAAUCCACUGUGAAUAAGCACCUGCCUGGAUCACUGAGUGUAAUGCUAUAAUACAAUGGAAAGUACAACAGUAAUAGCACAGGAGCACAGUCUUAUGCCACAGCAAAUGAGAACAAACCCAAACACGGCAACCACAGACAACUCACCUUUGAAAAGCCACAAGCAUGCAGAGACCAGCAGAGCAAUACCCUUACUCCCACUGCCAACCCUUAAAUGAGGUCUGAGUAAGGAAGGCUCCUGGCUCCACCUCUUCCAUCACUCAGACUCUGGCCACGAUGCUGAUAAUUCGUAUUUGUUGAUAUUCCUCAGCAGCCGAACACAGAGUGUGCUCCAGACGGUACCCAGAUGUGAUCGGAGCCGAUACCCUCUUCCUGCUAACAGAGAAUUGCAAACCAUCACUACAGCGGCAGAGGAAUAACCUUUACGGUUCAUUAAAAUUCCACAGACUCUG
Meleagris gallopavo (turkey) is the source of this 455-nucleotide non-coding RNA. The record is from RefSeq and is a predicted model, not a curated record. NCBI's taxonomy places the organism in Eukaryota, Metazoa, Chordata, Aves, Galliformes, Phasianidae.